GGCUCAGGAUGAACGCUGGCGGCGUGCCUAACACAUGCAAGUCGAACGGAACUUUUACUGAUUGAGACUUCGGUUGAUUGAAGUUUAAGUUAGUGGCGGACGGGUGAGUAACGCGUGAGUAACCUGCCUUUCACAGGGGGAUAACGUUUGGAAACGAACGCUAAUACCGCAUAACAUAGCGAGACCGCAUGAUCUUGCUAUCAAAGAUUUUAUCGCUGAAAGAUGAGCUCGCGUCUGAUUAGAUAGUUGGUGAGGUAACGGCUCACCAAGUCGACGAUCAGUAGCCGGACUGAGAGGUUGGACGGCCACAUUGGGACUGAGACACGGCCCAGACUCCUACGGGAGGCAGCAGUGGGGAAUAUUGCACAAUGGGCGCAAGCCUGAUGCAGCGAUGCCGCGUGAGGGAAGAAGGUUUUAGGAUUGUAAACCUCUGUCUUCAGGGACGAUAAUGACGGUACCUGAGGAGGAAGCUCCGGCUAACUACGUG
Molecule: ribosomal RNA, 487 nt
Filed under: uncultured bacterium
Lineage: Bacteria
Description: bacterial SSU rRNA
Rfam family: Bacterial small subunit ribosomal RNA
Source: RNAcentral